AUGAUGAAAACCGCGUCGGAGCAUUGGUGUAGGGCCUACUUUAGGAUUGGCUCUUUCUAUGACUCAGUUGAGGACAACAUGUGUGAGUCAUUUAAUAAUGCCAUCAUGAGAUCAAGGUUCUACUCUGUAAUAACAGCAAUGGAAAUCAUUAGAAAGAAGGUGACUGUGAGGAUCCAACAAAACAGAGCAAAGUCUCAGAAGUGGCAUGGAACCAUUUGCCCAGUCACAAUCAUCUCAACAGUCUCAGAAGUGGCAUGGAACCAUUUGCCCAGUCACAAUCAUCUCAACCUCCAUCUGCAUCAUCUUCUUAUCAACCAACACCUGGGUCGAGAUCUCAGCCAAUGUCAAACCAAUCAGGAUUCCAAUGGUGGUUAUAUGGCAAUAAUUGACUGCUAG
RNAcentral lists this ribosomal RNA (396 nucleotides) under Triticum aestivum (bread wheat). Its description in RNAcentral is "partial small subunit ribosomal RNA". The record is from RNAcentral. Lineage: Eukaryota; Viridiplantae; Streptophyta; Magnoliopsida; Poales; Poaceae.